AACGAACGCUGGCGGCAUGCCUAACACAUGCAAGUCGAACGAGACCUUCGGGUCUAGUGGCGCACGGGUGCGUAACGCGUGGGAACCUGCCCUUAGGUUCGGAAUAACUCCCCGAAAGGGGUGCUAAUACCGGAUAAUGUCUUCGGACCAAAGAUUUAUCGGCUUUGGAUGGGCCCGCGUUGGAUUAGCUAGUUGGUAGGGUAAAAGCCUACCAAGGCGACGAUCCAUAGCUGGUCUGAGAGGAUGAUCAGCCACACUGGGACUGAGACACGGCCCAGACUCGUACGGGAGGCAGCAGUGGGGAAUAUUGGAAAAUGGGCGAAAGCCUGAUCCAGCAAUGCCGCGUGAGUGAUGAAGGCCUUAGGGUUGUAAAGCUCUUUUACCCGGGAUGAUAAUGACAGUACCGGGAGAAUAAGCGCCGGCUAACUCCGUG
Molecule: ribosomal RNA, 433 nt
Filed under: uncultured bacterium
Lineage: Bacteria
Description: partial 16S ribosomal RNA
Rfam family: Bacterial small subunit ribosomal RNA
Source: RNAcentral